UGAGGAAUAUUGGUCAAUGGACGGAAGUCUGAACCAGCCAAGUAGCGUGCAGGAUGACGGCCCUAUGGGUUGUAGACUGCUUUUAUACGGGGAUAAAGUUAGGGACGUGUCCCUAUUUGCAGGUACCGUAUGAAUAAGGACCGGCUAAUUCCGUGCCAGCAGCCGCGGUAAUACGGAAGGUCCGGGCGUUAUCCGGAUUUAUUGGGUUUAAAGGGAGCGUAGGCCGUAGAUUAAGUGUGUUGUGAAAUGUAGACGCUCAACGUCUGACUUGCAGCGCAUACUGGUUUACUUGAGUUUGCACAACGUUGGCGGAAUUCGUCGUGUAGCGGUGAAAUGCUUAGAUAUGACGAAGAACUCCGAUUGCGAAGGCAGCUUGCGGGAGCAAAACUGACGCUGAAGCUCGAAAGUGCGGGUAUCGAACAGG
Molecule: ribosomal RNA, 424 nt
Filed under: Verrucomicrobiota bacterium
Lineage: Bacteria; Pseudomonadati; Verrucomicrobiota
Description: Verrucomicrobia bacterium partial 16S ribosomal RNA
Rfam family: Bacterial small subunit ribosomal RNA
Source: RNAcentral